This 2809-nucleotide long non-coding RNA is filed under the name Homo sapiens (human). Its description in RNAcentral is "HSALNT0345329". Lineage: Eukaryota; Metazoa; Chordata; Mammalia; Primates; Hominidae. The record is from RNAcentral.
AAAAUGGGCAGCUAUUGUUGCAGUCUCAGCAAGUGAAUAAUCAAUGGGAAGGGAUAACUUAGGUCUACAAAUAGAUAUAAUUUACCAUAUUUUGUCAUCAAUGCUAAAAUAUAGCUACAGGCAGUAAUAGUAGGCUCCCUUUUUGGUGACCGAUGGAUACUUGCCAUUAUACUAUUUAAUUUAUAUUAUGUCCAUUAACAUGACAUGACAAGUCCCUAUAUGAUAUUUUAGGAAACUGAGUAACAACAACAAAAAAAUAAGUAAUUUGCUCAAGGUCAGAGCUAAGAAGCCAAGGAGCCAGGUUUCAAAUGCCGAUUGCCAGAUCCUUGCUCUGGGGCACACUUUGGACACGCAAAUAAAGGCUUAACUGUUUCUGGCACAGAAACAGAGUGUCUCAUAGAAGUGGCAUCUGAGCUGGGUCUUGAGGGGUACGUAUGUUAAUGAUGGAGUGAGGAAAGGGAAUCAAGUCAUCAAAGACACGGAGAUGGAAAAGUACAGAGAUUGUUUAAGGACCUGAAAAGAAGUCUGACUUGGUAGCAGCAGAGUGAGAGUAGAGGGAGAUGAAACGGAGAGGCUGAAGCCAGCUGGGAGUCAGGUGGCCGCGCAAUGAUGUCAAGUCAUGGGUUUCUAGAAUUGUGGGAAGGCCCAGGGCAAAUCACAGGGCAAAUCACAGCUCUGUCGACUGGUUUCCUCUGUAAAAUAGAAAUAGAGUAAGAUCAUAAACUCACGUUCCAACUCUGGAUUUAUGCUUUCCUGUCCAGGAACAUUUAGUCUCCCCUUCCCACUUCCCACCUCGGUCCAUGAGGGAAGCAAAAUGUGUCCAUUCUUCUGCCCACGCCCAGUCCUGCACUAACUCCUCCCCAAAGCAGAGUAAGUGGUUUCCUGGUCGGUGAGAACAUGAGAGUGUCACUGCACUGGGUUUUACCCAUGGUCGGAAUUGCUGAAAUUCCUGAGUGGUUAAGGACAAACCCACCCGAGUCACUCUACUGCUGUUUCCUGUGUCCACAUGGUAAACUCUCAGCUUCUGGCCAAAGACCUUGGUGGACCCUGCUGACUUGCUGUGACAAAGAGAGAAGAGAGAAGGAGAGAAGAGCUGUGGCCCUUCAGGGAGUCCAGACCUAAGAGCUCCCCACACCAGGGCCGUGACACCCCUUUUGGGGCUCUGCAGUUCCUGGUGUCUCCAAGCUUCUGGGUGCCACCAUGUUCCCCAGUGCCAGCUGUGGAAGCUGCUUGUGGUACACCUGGUCCAGCCACAGCCUCAGAGGGAGCCAGUGCCCAUGUUAGCAACUGGAGCUGCCUGCCCUGCUGCAGCUGGUGUGCCUGGCUAUGUGCAGUGGCCAGACCCCAUGCUUGCUCACACACCCCUUGCCACUCCACACCUGGCUCACCCUUGGCAGGCCUGGGGGAUCCAGGCUGGUACCAUGAGCUGAGUGCAGCCUGUCAGGCCAAGCGGUGGAAUGAGCCCAGAUGGCCCCAAGCAAAACUCAGGCAAAGGCACCACUGGCCACAGAGGUUUCCAGCUGGCAAAGUGACACCCCAAGGAUCCUGUAACAGUGGGACAGGAUGAGCCCAACUUCACUGCAACUUACUCUCUUCUUUAUUUUUGAGAGUUUAUGUCCUAUCCCAGUUAUUUCCCAUGCAUUUGCUUCCACUUCUCUAAGCAAAACACUAAAAGAUCUGGUUUAAGAUAUCUGUCUAUCAGUAUUCUUUGGGUUGAUUGGUUAGCCAAUUAUUCAAUGAACUGGCUUUUAGCAAAUGGGUGAUCCAGUGAGAUGGCCAUUAGUUAAAUGAUGACUUAGGGAAUCGAAUACAGUCAGUUUCACUUCUUUCUCAUUUUCAAAGUGAUGUAUGGGCCAUCACCAAGAAUAAUACAGAUCACCCAUGACUUGUUCAUACAAGCACAUUGAUUUCCCCAUACCCUGUUUCCUAAGUGUCAAUCUCACACCAACUUCAUGGUUUUUGCAAUAUCCUCAUAGAACCUAUACUAUUAUGUAUUUAAUAUUUUUCUUGAAUCUGACACACCCGUAAUUUUUCAUUCAUUAUUUUAAAGGGAACUUUCAUACUGUUGUACUGAAAACUGCCAGACUAUGCCAAUCCAAAGUAUGCCAGUGUGACAUGAGGAUUAUUUUGAGCUGAAGGCACUUGAAAAAAUAGUAGGUAUGACAAGGACCCUCUGAUCUUCCCUCUUUCCUCCUAAAGGAAGAAAAUAAAUCCCCAUAUGGAAGAUGUCCUUCAUAUACCGCAAAGAAAAUAACAUUCUUAUCACUAGAAACGGGGAGUCAGAAUUGAGACCAAUCUGUAGAAACCUUGUUAAACUAAUCCUUAUCUUCCUAGUUACUUUUCCACCAUAACUGACUCAGCCCAAGCCCCCUCCAUUUGUCACACUUUCAUAAUUUACUCCUCUUUGUCCAAUUCUAUAUAUGUGCUCUACCCCAACUGCCUGUUUGGGUCUUAUGAAGGCUUCUGUGUCAUGUAAAACUUAUUUUAAAUAAAUGUGUAUGCAUUUCUCCAGUUAAUCUGUCUUUGGUCAAUUUAAUCCUCAAGCCCAGCCAAAAACCCUGAAGGCAGAAGUACAAUUUUGCCUCUCCUUCAGUACUGAGCAAAUUAUCUGUGCAUUCAUAAGUUUGACAUUCCCGUUAUGUAUUUUUAAGUGCACAUAAAACAUAUUAACUAUAUGGAUAGAAAGUGUUCAUCUUUGAACUACUUAAACUCAACUCCCAUGUGAAUAUACACUGGGUAAACAGCUGGAAUAAAGAAAUAAAGAAUAUGAUCACCUAACACCUUGCAUAGCAGCUGUCUGCCCCACAGU